This 255-nucleotide ribosomal RNA is filed under the name uncultured bacterium. RNAcentral describes it as "partial 16S ribosomal RNA". It matches the Rfam family "Bacterial small subunit ribosomal RNA", at positions 524 to 776 of the family's 1533-position model. The record is from RNAcentral.
CACGUAGGGCGCAAGCGUUGUCCGGAAUUAUUGGGCGUAGAGAGCUCGUAGGCGGUUUGUCGCGUCUGCUGUGAAAACUGGAGGCUCAACCUCCAGCCUGCAGUGGGUACGGGCAGACUAGAGUGCGGUAGGGGAGAUUGGAAUUCCUGGUGUAGCGGUGGAAUGCGCAGAUAUCAGGAGGAACACCGAUGGCGAAGGCAGAUCUCUGGGACCGUAACUGGACGCUGAGGAGCGAAAGCAUGGGGAGCGAACAGG